UGUUCUAAUGAUGAUACAACAUAUUAUUACAGUUAUCCCUGUCAGACAUGGUAACAAUUCCAUGGUGUAAGAAAAUUAUCUGAUAGAACA
RNAcentral lists this small nucleolar RNA (90 nucleotides) under Diaphorina citri (Asian citrus psyllid). RNAcentral's name for it is "small nucleolar RNA R38". It matches the Rfam family "Small nucleolar RNA R38". Rfam says of the family: snoR38 is a C/D box small nucleolar RNA conserved across yeast, human, Arabidopsis and rice. It is encoded in the intron of elongation factor-1 gamma in both pombe and cerevisiae. snoR38 guides the methylation of 2'-O-ribose sites in 28S rRNA. The record is from Rfam by way of RNAcentral. Lineage: Eukaryota; Metazoa; Arthropoda; Insecta; Hemiptera; Psyllidae.